This is a long non-coding RNA of Columba livia (rock pigeon), 448 nucleotides long. RefSeq lists it as uncharacterized. The record is from RefSeq and is a predicted model, not a curated record. Lineage: Eukaryota; Metazoa; Chordata; Aves; Columbiformes; Columbidae. The transcript has 3 exons.
AAAUCGGAAAAAAACGUGCACAUUUUCUUCUUUUAGAAAUCACCAUAAUAAUGAAUUUGAAUCGACAAGAGACAUUUCAUUCCUGUAUUGCACCUGAACCAAAACUACCCAAAUUCAAGCAUCUCUGAACUUCAGAGAAAGGAGAGAGGAAUCUGGACUUUAAACUAAAUUAUUGGUGUCUUCAGUGUGGAAAUAAAGUACUGUGCUCAUCGUUACUCAUCCUACCAACUUACCAGGGCUGUUAAAAUGUCAACGAUACGUAUUCACAUCACAAUAUCAGCAAGUGUGGAAGGCUGAAGUAGAACACGCCUGAGCGCAUCACUCUCUAGAUUUCAGGGUAGACUUUGGAAGAAUUUUAACAAGCCAAGGCCAGAUCCCAUGUAUGAAACCCAGGUAGCACAUACAACUGAACUGCAACCAAUUCCUCAAGAAGGCAACUCCAAAACUC